This 249-nucleotide ribosomal RNA is filed under the name Ctenidae sp. Its description in RNAcentral is "partial small subunit ribosomal RNA". The record is from RNAcentral. Lineage: Eukaryota; Metazoa; Arthropoda; Arachnida; Araneae; Ctenidae.
CCUNUUAUAUUUAAAUAAACUAAGGUAAUAAUAAGAUUAAAUAAAACCUAUUUACAUUGNGCGGCAAUUAGUUUUAUUAGAGGAACUUGUUUAAUAAUCGAUAAUNCCACGUUAAUUUUCACUAUUUUAAUAUAAUUUAUAUAUCUCCAUCUAAAGAAUUAGUUUUCAUUAAUUAUUCAAAAUAAUAUAAAUUAUAAAAAGUUAGGUCAAGGUGUAAUUUAAAUUUUAGAUAAAANGAGUUACAAUAAA